UUUGUUGUAUUUUUGUGUUUUCAGGGAACGUUUACCACUGUUUUAACCCUUCUUUUUCUUUUCUUUUUUACAGAGUCACAGAUAUGGACUUCAAGGAAAAAUGGAGCAAACUUGCACCACUAACCACAGCAAGUAAAAAGACAUUUCUCCUGUACGAAGAGGAGAUGAGAAGCCACCUGUAAUCAGCCUAUGAGACUAAUAGCAGCAUCAAGAACACAGAGAGAAACAGACAAGCAUUUAAAGACAGACUCCUGCCUCUUUUGGGAAAAGUGUGACUCUCUCUUUCCCUUUACUCUCUCUGCUUGACAGUCUAUCCACAGGCUGUCCUUCCAUCUGUCUCAGCAGGAUGCAGUGGCAUCAUUUUGAGUUUUGGGACAAAGAGAAAUGCUAAAUAGAUCCUGGCAUAUUGUUAGACAGAGAGGAGACAAAAAAAAAAAAAAAAACAAGAGGAACAUUUGCAAGCUUCUGGAAGGAAAAGGGAGGAGAGAGAGCUGUAUGAGUCAGAGCACAGCGGCUAGAAUACUGUGUAUUCUGCAUGCAAGAGAGGAGGUAGAGGGAGAUAGAGGAGCGAUGAGAGAGAUAUAGGGGGAAAAUAGAGGAGGACUUGACCAGAAUUGAGCAGUCAUUAGACAGAAGAAGGACAGGAUGAGGACAGAAGCAGCCACACUGGCAGGCGGUGAGUAAGUGAGAUAUAGGCCGAGUGAAUCAGCUUGCUGGAGGGAGAGGGAGGCGAGAAGAGGGCGAGUUUAAAAAGUGGAGGGUUUGGUAUGACUGAAGCCGGUUGAGUGAAGGUUGAAUGAAGGUUUGCUGCAGGGUGGAAAGUGGACACAGCUGCAAAGGACAGAAGGACAGGCUUAAUACUUGAGCAGCUACGGGGGAGAAAGUCCUGAGUGACUGUGUCUUGCUAUAGGGACUUAGCAUGACUGAGGUUUGCAUAUGGGAGGGACAGGCUUCAAGAAGGUUAACCAACAGGAAGGAGGAAAAUGGUAGAGAGUAGAAAGGUUAAAGAGGAACAGGAAACACCAAGGAACAGGACAUAGGGAUAAGGAACAAAUCAGGCUAGGUAAGAGCAAAACUUAACAUCCAAGCAAGGCCAGUAAGAGAGCCUGAGCAGAAAACACCACAGACCAGAGAACUUGUCGUCCAACGCACAAUGACAGGGACAUGGAAACUUUAACUGUGACAGCAACACAGCAAGAGGUUCCUGUUAAAUAUUGAUGCUGACAGGCCACUCUGGAAAGAGCUCACUCCUUGCACCACAGAAGGGGAAGCAGAAGGAAGAAACACAGUUGUUUUUUUUUUAUUCUAAAGGAUUUUUUUUACACUGCUGUUUAAGUGUGUCAGAGGACAGCCUAGUGUGGUGAAGUUGAGAUGUUGCUGCAAAUUAAGACAAGACCUACAAAUUAGACAAGACUCGGUUUCCUGGAGGGCUUCUUUUUUUCUUUCUUUUUUUUCCUUUUUUUUGGCCAGCUGUGCAAUUUCUGCGGGAGAGUGGAAUGGCUACAGAGAGAACAGGAUCUUUAUCAUGUGUGGAAAGAGCAAGCAAGAAGGGAAUUAAUAUUUGAGGGAUCAAAUCAGGACUGGAACAAUUUUUCCUUUUCUACAAGAACAAGAACCAGCCCUGGCUGAUGAAUACAGAUUUAUAUUUUGGGGUUGACUGCCACUCUGAGGUACACCACUGCCAGACGCGAUGAGCUAAACACUGCUGAAGCAUUCAUAAAUGUAUCCUCUCAUUAUUCUGUCCUGCACUGAUUGGAACUGCUCUAACUCUCUGAAAAUGCCCUCAUUACAAAGAUUUAGCCAAUGGGGGUUUGCUGUCAUGGCUUGAGGAAAUAUAAGUGUGGAAACGCUUUGAUGUGCAUCACCACAAAGGGAUCCUUUAAUUGGAGGCAGGAUGUAUACUUUGUUUUUGUCUCCAUGACUGAAUAAAGUCACGAUGGCUCUAAAUGUUAUCAAGGCAUUAAGCUAGAGGCUGCCUCCUCACUGAUUCCUCAAAACAUCACGACAAUAACGUGGGAGGACACAACGCCACAGUCUCCAUCCAGCUGCGGAGAGACCAGCUGCGUGUCUAUGUGUGUGCGUGUGGCUGCAUGGGGGUGUAAGGACCGUCAAGGAACUCAGCUGUGUUUGUGCACUAUGCUUGUGUGGGUGUGGGUGUAGAGGUGUGUCAGUGUGCGUGCGUGUGUGUGUGUGUGCGCGCGCACCGAGCUUGGAUCCCAGCUGUGUCUGAGUGUAUUUUCAAAGCGUCGCCUGGAGCUGUGUGUAUGCGCGUGUGAGUGUGUGUUUGCGUUUGUGCACGUGUGUGUUGCCUGGAUUCUCCCCACCAGCGACAGAGCUGGACCUGAACAGCAGUGGUGAGAGGGGGGACAGGGAGGGGGAGGAGGAGGAGAGGAGGGAGCUGAAAGAAACCAGCAGGACGGACGAGAAGAAAAAACUGACAACAUGCUCAGAUAAAGAGAAGAAAGAAAGGAGUCUCUGGCUGCCCCCCUGGUGCAAUGUGUGGCGUCGCGCCCUGUGGGGGUGGGGUUCUGUGAUGGUAACCAUGGUCCCCGGCAGCCGCUAUGUCUGCAGCGCUCACGCAAGAGAGGAAGACUCCACGAACGACCGCGAGGAGCGAAUUCUAGCCGUGCUGGGCAUCAUCGGAACUGUCCUCAAUCUUUUAGUGGUCAUAUUUGUCUACAUCUACACCUCCGUCACCUAAGGUUUCCUUGGACAAGAGAUGCUGGCAUUGUCCCCAACUCUGCUCCACACUUCCCACCCUCCUCUUCAAGUAUUUAUAUACUUGGAGGGUUUGAUUAUGCAGAGUAACUGCUGAGAUGUGAGGAUCAUUGGCAGCGUGUUCAGCUGGAUAGUAGCCAUAUUUAUCUACACCUGCAUUACUGCUUAUCCCUUAAGACAGCUCUGCUCCGUUACCUAAAGACUAGUGCUCAUCACAGAACAGGAGCUACAAGUGGAAUUAUCUGUAUCACUUUUAAACUGUACCUUCACAUUUCAAAACAAUUUCACAUAUCCAUAUGUCAAAUGACUGCUGACAGCGUGUCCAGUCUAGUAACGGUUAUAUGUGUCUAUAAUCGUACUGAUCCAUGACCUUGGCAUAGUAUCUCUGUGACUGCUGGUGAAGCUCUGAUGUGUCUUUGAUUUGAUGGUGGUCACGUCUGACUGUGUUGCAUUUGCCUUUUUGUCUCAUAACUCUGUGAAAGUCUAUGGUUUCUGUUGUUUUUUUUUAAUCUUGCUCCUCUAUGGUUUUAAGAUACAGUCACUGCCAGUUAAAUGUAUCAAAAUAGUCUGACAAACUCAGCACUAUGCGUUAACUUGACCAACUGAGUAGAUAGGGAAGGGUGGUACACUGCUAAGACUAGAUAAGGACCAAAACUGCCAAGUGAAUUAUCAACAGAGGGACCCUUGGGCCCAUCGGCUCCUGGGCACCGUAAAAUCUACUUGAAGAGCAUCAGUACAGAUGUACAGAUGAUCGCUCAUUACUAAAUAUUAGUCUCUGUAGUUAGUAGAAUCAAAAAGUUUUACAUGGACCUAACAAGUCCACACCUGAGCACACCAGAGGAGAGGUUCCUGGCUGUGUUAGGAGUCAUCGGCAUCGUGCUCAACCUCCUGCUGCUUGUGUUUGUCUACAUAUACACCUCCAUCUGAUGUCUGUGCCUGAACACCGUGUCAAUUAUGAGAUAACUUGCCACAUAACUUGCCACAGUGACUGCAGCUUUACGGAACAGCCAGGGGCUUCCAGUAAUCACAUUGUGCUGUAGAGGAUGUUCUCCACAUAUGUAUAUAUUGUACCUAAGCACACCCUGGUUCAUAGCUUAUUUGGGGAUUAUAUGUUAUUCUAGGUGGCGUUCUGUGCCUAAUAAUAUAAUGAUAUUCUAAUAAUAGUGGGAACUUGAUGAACAGAUGGUGGUAAGAGGCAAAAGCAGUGGGCUUAUGUAAAGGAGAUUUUGUUUACAGACUGGUUCAUGAUAGAAAUACACAAAAGUCACCUUUUUUGUGGAAAAUUGUGUCCUACGGUGUUUUUGUAGAUACAGUACUCGCUCACAUAUGUGCAUCAUGUUUACCUAAGCUUAUAUUGCUAUAAUCAAAUACUCUCUAUCCUGCUUUGACCAAAAUAACUGAUGUAAAGACUGCCAUCUUUGUAGUGAUCCUGUUUGUUCUACAUGCUCACUGAUGUUGAAAACACUCAGACAUGGAGCUGGAUGGUUUUGAUGUUUCAGUCUGUGUAGCAGCUCUGUACAUGAGCAAAGAUUCCUCUGAGGACAGCAGGUACCACAGAAUUACGCUCUAUUUCCUGGUGUCAUGUUUCACUGAUUGGAUCUGUACGCAAGGCACGGAGGGGCACAGGAGAGGGCAAAGUGGGGAGCGGAGACAAUGUCAUACGAAUCAAGGCGGUGCACUUUCACAGUGCAACACAAAGGAAUGCAACAGCAGCAGAGAAAUCAGGGAGAACCAGUGCAGAUUGCCUGAAAAAAGAGGACAUAAAACCUCUGUACAAGGCCUCACCAUCUGUCUUGAAACUCGCAAAGGCACAAAAAUCUCCCUGGGAUUGGGUUACAACACUUCCGCUGGAGCUGCAUGUCACUAUGGAUAUGAUUUUAGGUUUAAGCACUGCGCCUCUAAUGGAGGAGCAAACCUAAAUGCGGCUGACAAGCGAGCAGGAAGGACUGGCCUGAAUCUACACUUCAUUCUCGUCAUUCUCUUCUCCACCAACAAGCUAACGCCAGAAAAGACAUAGUACUGAGAGGAGCCACGUGAGCCUCUGCCGUCAUUUCACACAGCACAAUACUUUUAUAUGUAAAUGCACCCAUACCUGUGAAAAGGACUUCAUUUCAAACACCAUCAGUCAGAGGUUGUGGGAAAGGCAUGAGCAAAAGGACAAUGGAAACAGCGUGUUUUCCGAAAUGAAUAACAAGCAUCUCUGACUGUUCACUUAACCUACUGCAAUUUUACAUGUUGGCUUGUGUGAAUAAGUACUGAGAUUUUGAUAACCAUUGCAUAAUAUGAUUCCUUGUUACAUUGUGUAUAUAUGCUCUUAGUUUUAGUAUCAGUUUAUCAUUGAGUGUUUUGUUUGAAGCUUGCAAGAAAACCUUGAAGUCACAACCACCACACUGGAACAUGUUUGGAAUGAGCCUCAGAAAAUGUCUAUGGGUCUGGUUGCCAAAGUGUAUUUUGUAGUUAGGUGUAGAAGAUAAAUAUUCCCAUGGCCAUAUCUACAGAAUGCUGGACGAACAAGUGACCACAGUUUCCCUACUGAAAUAACUAGCUUUUAUUGAGAAUUAUUAGUUGCUUUGUUGAGUCCCACAGCAGCAAAGAAUGAAUGAAAAGGGUGCGUAUUUCAAUUACUUGUAAUGCAUAAUUAACUUGCCUUAGGGACACUCUCUCACUGUAUCACUUGCACAUACCCAUUCACACACUUUUGUCUUUUGUAACCCUAACCCUAACCCACCACAUGGCUAAUUCAAUACAACCUGGGUUUUCAGUUGCUGAGAUCCAAGAACACAGUCAUAUCGCUAAAGAGAAGUCAGACUAACCUAGAAGUCAGACUAAAACUAAUAUAGAAGCGGUAAGACCAACCCGGUGGUUAUAUUAAGGGGUUGACUGUGCAGCUUAUUUGGAAGAGAAAACAUCAGUGAACAUUAAAAUUAUUACCCAAAAUGUCUAUUUAUGGACGGACUUCCUGCUUCAAUUCUACAGGUUUUGCUGUAGUUUUGUGGUUUUCCUGUAUAAUGAGGGAUUAUUAGCAAUACUACAGUGAGCUCACUUUAAGUUUAACCUCCAAAAUAAACUGGGUGCCAGCUACUCUGGCUAAAUUGGAGGCUUGUUUACAACCUGUAAAAUUAUCUGACAGGUGCUGUGUUUUGCCCUGUUGGACCUACUUGCGGCAAUGUGGCUGUGUUCUGAGAUGCCAGCAAUUACAGUGUUAUCAGAACUGCUGCAACCAGUGGCCCAUGAGUUUAAUUUUGCACCAUCUUUCAGCACACAUCAGGAGAGUCAACAGCAUGUUGAGAUCAAUGUGACUUGCACAUUCACUUCCUGUCACAUCUAAUACCUGUACAGCAGAGUUUGUUGAACUAAAUCCAUUUUAAGUGUGCGCCAAAGCACAGUAUGAGCCACCUUUGGUUUGCCAGACAUCUGCUGUCAGACUGUGACGGUCAAAGCCACAGCUGUGCAGAAACACAUCUGAAUAUAUUCUGAAAUACCUAAAAGUACUGGGAGAUAUUUUUGGUCCACUUUGUGCUGCCUCUAAAGGGUCAAUCGAUGUAAGCAAACAAACAAAACAAGUAUGCUCAACUUUUUAGCUCAGGUUUACUUAAACAAAGGUUUUACAGUUCUAGUUUCUAAAAAUGCACCCUUUUAAAGGGUUAAUGAGUUGUAACUAACAGCUUAAUUAAUAGUUAAUAAAUUAAUUAAUAAUUCUUUAUAGAUCAGAGGCUAUUAAUAACAACACUUUAGGUUGGACUUUUCGCUGGUGUUUACCCCUUUGAAAUAAGGCACAGGAUUUAUGAGGAUGGAAUGAUUUUAAUAGUUAAUAAAUCCUUUACUAGUACUAUAUGGCUCAUUAGAAAAUAAGUCAUACAGCCAUUAAUAAAAUGGCAAUAUUAUCAAUUGAAUAUUGAUUUAUAAAGAAUUAGCAAAUUGUUUAUUGACCAUUACUAAAGCAAUUGGUUAUUACUUAUAAACUCUUUUAAGGGGUGCUUUACUUGAAAAUGAGAGCAGUUUGUGUGUUUUCAAAGGCCAGUGGUGAAACUAAUAUUUUUAGACUGAAACAAGUGAAAGAGGUGUAUUUUGUGCCAAUACUAAAUCUUUUUAAUGUUUUUAAAUGUUCUUGCCAAAAUAUUAAAGUGUUAAUACAUAUUAAAAACUCUACGAGGCAGAGUGACCCAUCUUAUACAACCAAUGCUCAGAUUGUAUAGUCAGCCUAAAUGAAGAAUAUGUUUAAAAAAUAAAAUCAACGAAGAAAAAAAAAUGCAGAUUUAUAAACUUCAUUAUGGUUUUCUGUAGCCUUGGUCAGGGAGGAACCAUCAUCAUAUCAGCAAUCAACAGACUAACUGAUAUUAGACAAAAGUUCAUUAAGUUAUUUUAUUGUGUACUCUGGAUGCAGUUCAAGGUUUUGGUUGAGACCAGUUAACAUGACAGGCCCACUGCCAAGCAGACCGACGAGAGGAGAGAGCCUACAGGGUGAGCCCUGGCCAUCUGCUGUCUCCCAACAGACAUUCAGCUCUCAUCUCCUCAAUGUACACACACACACCGCACACACAGAACACGGAAUUUACUUAGUUUUUUCUUUCAUUUUAUGCCUGUUCAUGUGUCUUUUCAAAAUCAUUUUACAGGGUAAAUGAGCUUAUAUGUGCGUGCAAUGAAAUAGUCUUUAAUGCCAGAGACUAAACAGGUGCAUCAGAGCACACCUGGGACUCCUAAGCACUGCCCCAGGCAUGGCUUAUGGAAAAUGUUCAUUCUGAAACUGGAUUGAUAAAUGAGUCUGAGCUAGCUGGCGACUCUGAGACAGAUUCUCAUGUUUUUUCAUGAUUCACGAGCCGAAUUGAUUUUUAGCCUGAGAGGGCACAUUGGACACAGACUGUCUGAGACUAGACAAGAGAAAAUAAUGUGGAGAAGAAGAUCCCUGAGAUAUUUUGAUGUUACUUCUGAGCAGCAAAGUUGUAGAAUAUUGAGUUAGAUUUAUCUUAGAAAGACUAGAAAGAAUAAAAACAAUUUGGGUAUGACAGAUUCCAGAGCUACAGUAUUUUCUGCAUUAGAUGCACCACAACUUCACCCAGAGGAAAGGCUAAGAAAGAGUCCUGGCAUACAGGACAAAUUUUGCGUUAUACAUAGGAAUUUUUCAUUUACCAGUUAGCCAGCAGACAGAACCAGUGAUUCAAGCAACUGCUAGAUGUCAGAAAGCCUCAGAUGUUAUGCGACAUGCUGAUUAUUUACUGACUAACAUUCCAGGACAGUAGCUGCUACAGCACUAAUCAAGCAAACUGAAGAUGUGAAAUGGGAAAAGUCCAGAGGGACUACCCCACUAAUAGAGUUUGCUUAUAUCAACAAGUGAUAAAGCUUCAUUGUCAAAGGAGAGAAACUACAUCCUCUAGAAUUGUGUAGGAGCAUUAAAUCAAUUUCUGAUGAAGCUGAUAACGAAACAGUAGUUUGUUAUAAUCCCUGAGAGUAACCACUGAACAAAUGCUGUGAGAUCUGGUGUACUUUCAUGUAAUGUUUAUAUAUAAUGUAUAGUUAUAGUAAUGCCAAUAAAACACUUUCAAAGA
Lates calcarifer (barramundi perch) is the source of this 8261-nucleotide long non-coding RNA. RefSeq lists it as uncharacterized. The transcript is spliced from 2 exons. Lineage: Eukaryota; Metazoa; Chordata; Actinopteri; Centropomidae. The record is from RefSeq and is a predicted model, not a curated record.